Molecule: transfer RNA, 85 nt
Filed under: Felis catus (domestic cat)
Lineage: Eukaryota; Metazoa; Chordata; Mammalia; Carnivora; Felidae
Rfam family: tRNA
About the family: Transfer RNA (tRNA) molecules are approximately 80 nucleotides in length. Their secondary structure includes four short double-helical elements and three loops (D, anti-codon, and T loops).
Source: Rfam by way of RNAcentral
ACCUGGGUGGCUCAGUCAGUUAAGCAUCUGACUUUGGCUCAGGUCAUGAUCUCACAGUUCGUGGGUUCAAGCCCCACCUCGGGCU